Molecule: non-coding RNA, 77 nt
Organism: Podarcis lilfordi (Lilford's wall lizard)
Lineage: Eukaryota; Metazoa; Chordata; Lepidosauria; Squamata; Lacertidae
Source: the annotation of a GenBank genome assembly
UUUUGAAGAAUAGCUCAGUUGGUUAGAGCGUGGUGCUGAUAAGCCCAAGGUUGCAGGUUUGACCCCCGGUACAGAAG